This 1302-nucleotide long non-coding RNA is filed under the name Homo sapiens (human). Its description in RNAcentral is "HSALNT0292022". Lineage: Eukaryota; Metazoa; Chordata; Mammalia; Primates; Hominidae. The record is from RNAcentral.
GGAAAUCUCCUCUCAAAGAUAACCUUACGAAAUUCAAUUUGGUACUUUCUACAGUUUUAUUGAGCCCCUGCCAAACACCAUUCUACCCUCUGCCUCUGAGACAGCAAGAUAGAGCUUAAGUAGCAACCAGCUCACUCACAGUGGGUGAGUCACAUCAGCAGCAUCAAGACAAGACAAGGCCAGUGAUACACUAACUGCUUCCCAUAAAGCUGUCAAGAGAAUGCAAUGAGUGAUCUCAGUCCAGGAGGAGCAGACCAGUGAAAAGGAAAUAACUGGCUGGAAGCCAAGCAACACGGACCCACAUCCAGAUCUGAUCUGUCACUAACUGAUUAUUCCAAACUGGACAUACUACUUUCCUUCUCUGGACCUCCGUUCCCUCUGCAUAAGGUCUCUGUUACCCUGUCUGUAACAUGGAGAGGAUAACCCCAGCUCAAAGGCCUCCCUCAGGUCUGCUGAGAGGAUCAAGUGGGAUAUCAUCUGAUAAAGUGAUUUGACUUUUACAAAGGACUGUCCAAAUAGAAGGUUGUGGUGUUAUCUCUGACAUCUGAAGCGAGGUCCUUGGAUGUUCCUGGAGUCAAACCUGACAACAAGGAAACUUUCAGCAUGACCGAGAAAAGGGUCUCCCUUAGCUCAGCUCCUGGGAGGGCCCCUGAAGGAGAUAUAAAAUGAAGAAGAAAAAAAAACCAUUAAAGCAAAAUUCCUGGGGCUGGGAGCAGCCAGGAGUCUGGCGCGUGUCUCCUCCUGGGUAAUUACCUGGCAUUUAGCACCCCUCUUCCCAGCACUUGUAAUUAGCAGGGAAAUUAAGAUGCUGUCAUCCUACCUCCCAGCUUCUUGCCACUACACCCAGAGGCCUGGGGAGGGGCUUAAUGAGAUGGGAAGGGGACCUGCACAGCUAGAAGAAGUGAAACUACACAUCGGAAAGGACUUUGCGCUGUUUACAGGGCCUUUUGACAAGAGGAGAGCAGUGGAGGGUCCUUUGGGGACCACUUCCUGCUGUCUCCAGCUGAAGCCAUCUCUUCCCCCCUGAAUUCCUGGAGCAUGUGCAAGCUGGGCCACACCCCUUCCCACGGGAUGCUACCCUAGCUUUGAUUAAAUGGCUGGGUUUCAGCAGGGUCUUAUUUCACUCACCAACAUCAUUACAGAUGUCUCUUGGGUGCCUGCCUCUGUGCUGGACCCUGAGGACAGAGAUGAGUCAGACCCACCUGGAAUUGCAGGUGUUCACCAGGCAAAAGAUAUGGCAUUUGAGUGGACAAAUGUAAUACAAGGUCAAAAGUGACAAGACCUAAGGGAGGCAGGGCCAGC